RNAcentral lists this ribosomal RNA (549 nucleotides) under Flavobacterium sp. RNAcentral describes it as "bacterial SSU rRNA". It matches the Rfam family "Bacterial small subunit ribosomal RNA", at positions 124 to 671 of the family's 1533-position model. The record is from RNAcentral. Lineage: Bacteria; Pseudomonadati; Bacteroidota; Flavobacteriia; Flavobacteriales; Flavobacteriaceae.
AUCUACCUUUCGCAGAGGGAUAGCCCAGAGAAAUUUGGAUUAAUACCUCAUAGUAUAGCAGUUUCGCAUGAAACCACUAUUAAAGUCACAACGGUGAAAGAUGAGCAUGCGUCCCAUUAGCUAGAUGGGAAGGUAACGGCUUACCAUGGCAACGAUGGGUAGGGGUCCUGAGAGGGAGAUCCCCCACACUGGGACUGAGACACGGACCAGACUCCUACGGGAGGCAGCAGUGAGGAAUAUUGGACAAUGGGCGCAAGCCUGAUCCAGCCAUGCCGCGUGUAGGAUGACGGUCCUAUGGAUUGUAAACUGCUUUUGUACAGGAAGAAACACUCCCUCGUGAGGGAGCUUGACGGGACUGUAAGAAUAAGGAUCGGCUAACUCCGUGCCAGCAGCCGCGGUAAUACGGAGGAUCCAAGCGUUAUCCGGAAUCUUUGGGUUUAAAGGGUCCGUAUGCGGUUUAGUAAGUCAGUGGGGAAAGCCCAUCGCUCAACGGCGGAACGGCCAUUGAUACUGCUAAACUUGAAUUAUUAGGAAGUAACUAGAAUAUGU